UUACGAAGCACUGCUCUUGUUAGGGCUA
RNAcentral lists this small RNA (28 nucleotides) under Bombyx mori (domestic silkworm). Its description in RNAcentral is "ovarian small RNA-9345". Lineage: Eukaryota; Metazoa; Arthropoda; Insecta; Lepidoptera; Bombycidae. The record is from RNAcentral.